GUGCUGGCUUCUGCAACACACAUACUAAAACUGGAAUGAUACAGAGAAGAUUAGUAUGACUCUGCUCUCGGAUGAUGCACAAAUUCAUGAAGCAUUCCAUAUAUUG
This is a small nuclear RNA of Suncus etruscus (white-toothed pygmy shrew), 106 nucleotides long. The record is from RefSeq and is a predicted model, not a curated record. NCBI's taxonomy places the organism in Eukaryota, Metazoa, Chordata, Mammalia, Eulipotyphla, Soricidae.